AAAAGUCAUAGGACAAAUUGUACUUGGUUGCGCAAAAUACUGAUAUGAAAUUCACAUUUUGUACUGAAGGAAACGCCAGAUGAGUUGAGCUCACGUUCAGUUUUUAUUUCUCAUUUCUUCCGCCUCAGUCUCUUCUCAUGUGCACGACCUCACAGGGCUGUCACAAGGCCUGCUGGGCACACGCAGCUCAUAGAAAAGUGAUGGCUUCCUCCUCGCCCCCUCACCUCCCUCCUUCCCCUCUCCCCCUCACUUUGGAGCAUGCAGGCUGAUUGCAGAGACAUCUCCCAGCCAGGAUGUGUCAACAGGGAAUGUGCUGGGGACAGCAGGAGUUCACAGCCACCCCCGCAGGCGCCUUCCUGGAGCACGUCCACAGGCCAUGUGCAGCUGCAUCCCCCGUGACGGCAGGGACAAGUUCCUUCCACAGGACCCGGGUGGCCCCCAGAGCUGCAGCAUUUAUGAUCCAGUCCUUUGCAGAAUGCAAGGAACAGACACAUGAACCCUGACCCAGGUUUUUGUGCAGAAAUGUUCCCUCUUCAGAAUAGAAAGGUCAGGCAUGGAUUAUUAACUCUCAGGACUCUGGAGGACCAGCAGCCACAGAUGUGGAGCCCUGGGGAACAGCCAACAGCCUCCUCUGCCUCCGGGGCUUUGUCCUUCCGUGACUUCAUGCCCGCAAGAAUGGAUGCUAAUUCUCAAUGUCGGCAUGAAAUCGCAGCUGACACACGCUGCCAGGAGACGUCUCCACAAUCAGCCCUCCUGCUGGAGAGGGGAAGGAGGGAAGUGAGGGUGCAAGGAGGAAGCCAUCCCUUCUCUGAGCUGCAUGUGCCCAGCACGCCUCAUGACAACCCUGUGAGGUGAGAGGAGACUGAGGCGCGAGAAACGAGAAGCUUGCCCAAGUCACGCGACUGAAGCACAGAGCCAGGGUCUGGCGCCCUGAGAGGUCCUGGGUGCAUUGGAUGCUGUGCACGUACAUCAGCAGAGAGGCAGGAUGCUGUCAUCUUCCUUUGGAGCCAGUAACAUUUUCUGCUGCCAGCAAGGAAAGAACAUUGGAUCACGCGCCUCCAUGCAGGCAGGGUUCUUCGGUUGCGCUGAUCCCGAGCCCAGCCCUCUUGUGGUCUGUGCUGACGCCAGGGCCUCUUGUUGGAAGGCCUUGUGCUCCACGUUUCCCCCACAACGGGGAGGAUGCUGAACUCUCUACCUGUAAUUCUGGCCUCGGAGCAGCUGUUUUCUGCCUGGUUUCUCACCCCAGCCAUGCACAGUGGAGGUGUCAGCAAAUCCCUGGAGAGAAAGUCCGGUGGACACAGGGCUCCUUUCUCUGAGGUUCCCUUUCCCUGGGAUCACAGCAGCUGUGUCAGGGUCUCCAGAGGGUGCACAGAGUGAGAAGGAGAUUUAUUAUAAGGCGGGGACUCAUGGGGUAAUGGAGGCGGUGAGUCCAGCAUCUGCAGUGUGGGUAGCGUGGUCAGUGUGGGUAGCGUGGGCAGUGUGGGUAGUGUGGGCAGUAAAAAUACAAAAAAUUAGCCAGGCGUGGUGGCACAUGCCUGUAAUACCAGCUACUCGGGAGGCUGAGGCACAAGAAUCACUUGAACCCAGGAGGUAGAGGUGGAGGCUGCAGGGAGCCGAGAUCACACCACUGCACUCCAGCCUGGGCAACACAGCCAGACUCCAUGUCAAAAAAAAAAAAAAAAAAAGUUAAUCUCAUCUAAAAACACUUUCCAAAUUGACACAUAAAAUUAAUCAUCACAAGAGAGCUGACAUUCAUUUUUUGAUAUUCAAAAUAGGAUCUUGCAACAAGACAGUCAGCUGGAAAGCCAGGC
This is a long non-coding RNA of Piliocolobus tephrosceles (Ugandan red Colobus), 1811 nucleotides long. NCBI's taxonomy places the organism in Eukaryota, Metazoa, Chordata, Mammalia, Primates, Cercopithecidae. The record is from Ensembl.